This 480-nucleotide ribosomal RNA is filed under the name uncultured bacterium. RNAcentral describes it as "bacterial SSU rRNA". It matches the Rfam family "Bacterial small subunit ribosomal RNA", at positions 56 to 527 of the family's 1533-position model. The record is from RNAcentral.
UGCAAGUCGAGGGGUAACAGGGUUUAGUUUACUAGAUUGCUGACGACCGGCGCACGGGGGAGUAACGCGUAUACAAUUUACCUUUUACAGGGGAAUAGCCCAGAGAAAUUUGGAUUAAUGCCCCAUAGUAUUAUAGAGUCACCUGGCUUUAUGAUUAAAGUUUCGGCGGUAAAAGAUGAGUAUGCGUCCUAUUAGCUAGAUGGUAAGGUAACGGCUUACCAUGGCGACGAUAGGUAGGGGUCCUGAGAGGGAGAUCCCCCACACUGGUACUGAGACACGGACCAGACUCCUACGGGAGGCAGCAGUGAGGAAUAUUGGGCAAUGGAGGCAACUCUGACCCAGCCAUGCCGCGUGCAGGAAGACUGCCCUAUGGGUUGUAAACUGCUUUUAUACAGGAAGAAACUUACCCACGUGUGGGUAACUGACGGUACUGUAAGAAUAAGCACCGGCUAACUCCGUGCCAGCAGCCGCGGUAAUACG